RNAcentral lists this ribosomal RNA (428 nucleotides) under uncultured bacterium. RNAcentral's name for it is "SSU rRNA". It matches the Rfam family "Bacterial small subunit ribosomal RNA", at positions 369 to 808 of the family's 1533-position model. The record is from RNAcentral.
CAAUGGGGGAAACCCUGNAUGCAGCGACGCCGCGNUGGAGGAAGAAGGUCUUCGCGCAUUGUAAACUCCUGUUGUUGGGGAAGAUAAUGACGGUACCCAACAAGGNAAGUGNNNAGCUAACUACGUGCCAGCAGCCGCGGUAAAACGUAGGUCACAAGCGUUGUCCGGAAUUACUGGGUGUAAAGGGAGCGCAGGCGGGAAGACAAGUUGGAAGUGAAAUCUAUGGGCUCAACCCAUAAACUGCUUUCAAAACUGUUUUUCUUGAGUAGUGCAGAGGUAAGCGGAAUUCCCGGUGUAGCGGUGGAAUGCGUAGAUAUCGGGAGGAACACCAGUGGCGAAGGCGGCCUACUGGGCACCAACUGACGCUGAGGCUCGAAAGUGUGGGUAGCAAACAGGAUUAGAUACCCUGGUAGUCCAAGGGCGAAUUC